GAUGUAUCUGCGUGUUUGCCAUGGGCUAUGUCCCAAACUAACAGUGAUGAAAAGAGUUUAAAUCAUUUUUGGUUGUGCUUUAGUGUUACGAUUCGAUUCGUCAACGAUCAACUGAAACCUCACACCACUCUCGAUCUUUGCCACUCGUUUGAAAGAAAGAUGUAAAGAAACGCAAAACAGAGACACAAGAGAUUGUUCACCCAGUGUUCGUCCUCGAUGUGAGGAGUUACUCACUGGGGCCAGAUCAAUCCUGGCAAUACACUCAGAAGAAGAAUCCAAGCUCAAUCACGAGCUACAAUGGCGAUGAGAAGAACACUUUCUCUCUCACGCUUUCUCUCUCUAUUCUGUUACAAGAAGAUGAGUCAACAACGACUCUUUUAUACCGUUGAUGAUGAUCAGACCCGCUAUCGCGACUAGAAGGUCUUCACUUGGUUUACGGCUCCCGGUACAAAUCAAGUUACUGAACCGGUCUUCAUCUUCUACUCUCAAUCCAAAUAACCGGAUACCAAAGACUUGAAUCACAAGGUAAUGUACCUUUUAACACUCCACCUUGAUUUAAGUCUUCUAAUGCUUCUGCUCUUCUUCUUCUUCCUUAUGUAUCGCCAAUCCUUGGAUUUAACCUCUGGCUAUACUGACCAUUCUCAUUAUCAACUGGUCAGUCUGAGCAGCUCUAAAGCCGCCUCAAACUUCUGCACAGGUAUGCAUUUUGUUAGCAUAUCAGCGGGGUUCCGAGAUGUAUGUAUCUUCAAUACUUCUAUCUCACCUCCUUCCACAAUGUCUCUGACAAAGCCAUACUUAACAGCCAUAUGCUUGGUACGUUCAUGAAACACUUUAUUCUUCGACAAGCUUACAGCCGAUUGCGAGUCACACCAAACUGACACCUUCUGUUGCUCAAAACCCAUUUCACAAAGUAACCCUUUAAUCCAAAUCGCCUCCUUUAUGGCUUCUGAUAAAGCAAUAUAUUCAGCUUCUGUUGUGGACAAGGCUACCACAGGUUGAAUACUCGAUCUCCAGCUCACUGUGUUCCCACCAACUGUGAAAACAUAACCACUUGUAGACCUCUGUUUAUCCAAAUCACCACCAAAAUCAGAAUCUGUGUAGCCUUGAACUCUAAGACCAGCGUCACCUUUUGUAUAGAUCAGGUUUAGAUCAGCUGAACCUCUUAAGUACCUCAGUAACCACUUCACAGCCUCCCAAUGAAUACUUCCAGGUUUGCUCAUGAAGCGACUCACCAGUCCAAGAGCAUAAGCCACAUCUGGUCGAGUCCCAACCAUUGCAUACAUCACACUCCCAACAGCACUCAAAUAAGGGACCUUCUCUGUAUCUAUACGUUCAUCAGCAUUCUUCACUGAAGCAAGCUUAAAAUGAGAUCCCAUAGGCGUAGCAACCGCUUUAGACUCAGACAUUCUGAACCUUUUAAGGACCUUCUGGAUAUAUCCUGAUUGACACAGCUUCAAUGUAUCUUGUUCCCGGUCACGUUUAAUGUCAAUCCCAAGUAUUCUACUUGCCGGCCCCAUAUCUUUCAUCUCAAACUCACUACUCAAAACAUCUUUCAACUUCUGAAUCUCAGACUUCUGCUUGGCAGCCAAGAGCAUGUCAUCGACAUACAACAGGAGAUACACAUAGUCUUCUGGACCAACUUCCUUGAUGUACACACACAAGUCGGAAUCGCUUCUGAUAAAACCCUGAGACACCAGAAACGAAUUGAACCGUUUGUUCCAUUGUCUUGGAGCUUGCUUCAGCCCAUACAAUGACUUUUUGAGUAAGCAGACUUGGUCUUUACCAGGAUUUACUUCAAACCCUUCAGGCUGUUCCAUGUAUAGCUCUUGCUCAAGAUUACCGUGUAAGAAAGCUGUUUUCACAUCCAUUUGUUCCAACUCCAAAUCAUGAUUCACAACUACUGACAUUAGUACUCGAAUUGAUAUGUGUUUUACCACUGGUGCAAACACUUCUUCAUAAUCAAUUCCCUCUCGUUGAGUGAACCCUCUAGCCACAAGUCUUGACUUGUGCCGUGGAUCUUCCACCCCUGGGAUUCCAGGCUUCUUCUUAUACAGCCAUCUGCAUGAUAUCACAGUUUUAUUCUUGGGUCUAUCAACAAUAUCCCAUGUAUCAUUCUUCUUGAGUGACUCAUACUCAUCAGUCAUGGAGCCAUUCCACAACACCCAAUCUUUUGCCUUCAAAGCAUCGUGAUAGCAGCCAGGUUCCUCUGACUCAAUCUCCUCUGCAGCUACUAAUGCACACGCAAUGUUCGAGUAGUCUGCCAUCCAAGCUGGUGGAACAGGUUCUCUUCUGCUGCGAUCUUUGGCUAGUUGGUAACUUGCCAAAUCAACCACAUCUUCAGCUGCUGUAUCCUCAACAUCUGAUGUAGGCACAUCCUCUGUAUGAGUUGUAUCGGAUGUAGAAGCUCCACCUUCUCCAGUGUCAUCACUCUCCACAGACUUGUUCUGUACUGUCUCAGGUAGACUGUGUUGAGUGACAUUCUGCUCAACUUCCUGAGCCUCUUGUACUUGACCACUUACUUCCCUGAACAUCUUUUGUUCUUGAAAUACUACAUUGCGACUAAUAACACAAUCUUCAGUAUCCAGUAGCCAGAUCUUGUAUCCUUUUGUACCUUGAGGAUAACCAAGAAAUACACCUUUUAAGGCUCGAAGCUUUAACUUCCCUUGAUCCUGAUAGACAAAGGCUAGAGACCCAAAACGCUUCAUGUGUUGAUAGCCGGGCUUUCUCCCUAACCAGACCUCUUCAGGAACAUUGUGAUCGAUUGCAGUGCAUGGUGAUCGAUUCACAAUAUAAGCAGCUGUUGCUGCAGCUUCAGCCCAAAACUCCUCACCCAAGCCUGAUUCACUUAACAUACAACGCACCUUCUCCAUCACUGUUCUGUUCAUCCUCUCAGCAACUCCAUUUUGCUGAGGAGUAUAGGUACAGGUUCGAUGACGUUCUAUUCCCUGCUUCCUGCAAUAUUCAUCGAACUUCCGGUUACAAAACUCCAAACCGUUGUCGGUUCUCAACACUUUAACCUUCUUGUUAACUUGAUUCUCCACAAGUUCCUUCCAUUCACAAAACCUCUCAAAGGUUUCAUCUUUUGUCUUUAGAAACAUAAGCCAAACUUUCCUGGACUUAUCGUCAAUAAUCGACAGGAAAUAGUGUUUUCCUGAGAGAAAUGCAGUUACAUUUGGAGAUCCCCACAAGUCUGCAUGAACGUAGCCUAGAACAUCUUAUGUGUUAUGCUUUCCCACAUUGAAGCUCAGUUUCUUGGACUUCCCAAGAACACAAUGUUCACAGAAACUCAAGUCUGUGAUCUCUUUCUUUGCAAUCAGACCUUUACCAACUAGAGUCUUCAGGCUAUUCAAGUUCAUGUGGCCAAGCCUGCUAUGCCAUAGAGCCGUCUUGCUUAACUGAACUUCCAAAUUACAGUUUUCACUUGCUUCAGUUCCACCAUCAAGUAAGUACAACCCAUUCUUCAGAAUUCCACGCAACGCCAACUUCUCAUUCUUGAAGAAACUCAGUAUACCAUCUCCACCUUGAUGAGAAUACCCCAGCUUAUCAAGUGUUCCAGUAGAGAUCAGGUUUCUCCUGAGAUUUGGAACAUAUCUGACAUUCUUUAGUACUUUGAUAGUACCACCAUUCGUGUUAAUCCUGACUGUGCCAUAGCCUUUUGAUUCCACAGUAUGAUCAUCUCCAAGUAGAAUCAUCAUAGGAUCCUUCUCACAGAAGUCAAGCAACCAUUCCUUGUGAGAAGUCAUAUGAAAUGUGCAGCCUGAAUCAAUAACCCACUGACUCUUUGCAUCCUGAUGAUCUACAUUCAGUGCUUCUGUGAAUACUAACUUCUCAGUUAUAACCCCUGCUUCUCCCUGAUCAUCCCCUUCACUCUGUUUCCUAGCAAAGCAAUCCUUCUUGAUGUGUCCUUCUUUCUUGCAAAACCAGCAAGUCAACCGAGACUUAGAGUUAGAUCUUCCUCGACCUUUCCUGCUCUUAGAGUCUUUAUAACUUCUAGACCCUGAUCUUCCUCUGUCAUUAGAGUACAGUGCUGAACCACCAGAGUCACGUUCUGACUUUGACUCAGUGACUUCACGUUCCCUUGAUCUUGCUGCUGAUAUGACCUCUUCAAGAGAUAGUGACUCUCUUCCAUACUUCAGCGUAUGUUUUAGUUGAUCAAAGUUUGUAGGCAGUGAGGUAAGCAAUAGUAUCGCUUGUACUUCAUCUGAUACUUCCACCUGCAAACUUCCUAGCUCUGCAACAAUCUUCAAGAAAUCAUCCACAUUUUGAUCUAUGCUUUUAGACUCAGCCAUCUUGAAGGUGUAAAACUUCAGCUGCAGAUGUAUACGGUUAGGCAAGGAACUUUCCAUAUACAGAUGAUUCAAUAGAGCCCAGAUCUCAGCAGCAGACGCAUCUGCAUUGAUCUUACGAAGAACCUUAUCACCAAGAUUCAUCACUAUGAGAUUCUUCGCUUUCUCCGAUUUCUCAAUCUUCGAAGGAUCAGGAACAUUCUUUACCAGAGGUUCUGAUGAUGGCUUCUCAUCGCCAUCAACCUGCGCUUGUUUCUCUUCGCUCUUCGAUAACGGAACUUGCUUUUCCAGCUUCGGAUCUGUAAGGACCUCUUUCAAGCCGAGAUAACCGAGAUGCGCCAUCAUCCUUAUCUUCCAUAAGGAGAAAUCUCCGGUUCCGUCAAAGAUUCCGAUGAUCGGAUUCUUCAUCGGGUUGAUCAUUGAGCCUGCGCUCUGAUACCACUUUGUUACGAUUCGAUUCGUCAACGAUCAACUGAAACCUCACACCACUCUCGAUCUUUGCCACUCGUUUGAAAGAAAGAUGUAAAGAAACGCAAAACAGAGACACAAGAGAUUGUUCACCCAGUGUUCGUCCUCGAUGUGAGGAGUUACUCACUGGGGCCAGAUCAAUCCUGGCAAUACACUCAGAAGAAGAAUCCAAGCUCAAUCACGAGCUACAAUGGCGAUGAGAAAAACACUUUCUCUCUCACGCUUUCUCUCUCUAUUCUGUUACAAGAAGAUGAGUCAACAACGACUCUUUUAUACCGUUGAUGAUGAUCAGACCCGCUAUCGCGACUAGAAGGUCUUCACUUGGUUUACGGCUCCCGGUACAAAUCAAGUUACUGAACCGGUCUUCAUCUUCUACUCUCAAUCCAAAUAACCGGAUACCAAAAACUUGAAUCACAAGGUAAUGUACCUUUUAACAUUUAGCCUUCCACCGCUUCGGCUUUAUGGGGAUUCUCUUGCGCCUAUGUCGUGGUACUACGAGGGUACAUUCAAUACAUUUCGUUUAUUUGGUUGGCAAAUAGGAUUUUGUCACAUUACCAAAAUGGUAACGCAGCUUCAGCAGGUUCGGUUCUACCUCAUUUAUUUGCUAUGUAUUUGGUAAUGGCCAUAUCCUCUAACCAAUUGAACAUUCCUAGUGUUAUUAAUUCUGCCUUUUCGAGGUUUAUGUGCAACAUGUAAAAGCUUGUAUUCGACCUAUCGAUAAAAUUAACAGUCAAAACAACUCGUUAAAUUCAUGUGUUGGGCG
This 5517-nucleotide long non-coding RNA is filed under the name Brassica rapa (field mustard). RNAcentral's name for it is "long non-coding RNA (BRAP_LNC003410)". The record is from RNAcentral. Lineage: Eukaryota; Viridiplantae; Streptophyta; Magnoliopsida; Brassicales; Brassicaceae.